Molecule: long non-coding RNA, 119 nt
Organism: Pipistrellus kuhlii (Kuhl's pipistrelle)
Lineage: Eukaryota; Metazoa; Chordata; Mammalia; Chiroptera; Vespertilionidae
Exons: 3
Source: RefSeq, a predicted model, not a curated record
CUCUGUAAAAAAUCAAUAAAAAUAUAUUUUUUUAAAAAAAAGCAGCUAGAACAGUUCAGAAGGUCCUCAGAAGUUAAGAACAUAGUUAUCAUGUGACCCAGCAAUUCUAUCCCUGAGGA